RNAcentral lists this long non-coding RNA (252 nucleotides) under Capsicum annuum. RNAcentral describes it as "long non-coding RNA (CANN_LNC009489)". The record is from RNAcentral. Lineage: Eukaryota; Viridiplantae; Streptophyta; Magnoliopsida; Solanales; Solanaceae.
UAUCAUCUAAGGGAGUAUGAGAAACAUCGCAUUUGGAUGAUAGCAUGAGGACACGGGAGAGCAUAUGUGCUAACAUAUGAUCAUUUGACAUUAAGGGACACUUUUGAGCCCACUUGAUAUUUAGGGUCACUUUUGGGCCAUCUUGUAAUAAGUAUCUCAUGACUAUAAAUAAUUAAGUUUUUCUUCAUUUUUAAAUAGUUGUUGAAUGAUAAUGCGUGAUACACUUGCGAGUGUCUUUAAGCUUGUUGGGAG